Long non-coding RNA from Hypanus sabinus (Atlantic stingray), 1013 nucleotides. RefSeq lists it as uncharacterized. Lineage: Eukaryota; Metazoa; Chordata; Chondrichthyes; Myliobatiformes; Dasyatidae. The record is from RefSeq and is a predicted model, not a curated record. The transcript has 3 exons.
GAGAAACUCAAAGUAAAACCACAACAUUCUAGCUGGGAAAUAUGACUGAGAAGAGCACUGAGCCUAAUCUUCAAAAUUGAAUGGAUGAAUUAUGAAUCACUGAAUCAGUCCCUUUCUGCACACCUCUCCCCUGCCAACAGCUGUAUGGACCAACCAUUGCUCUAAGCAGGAAAUUUUCACAUGGCCUGAAAAUUGCACAGCAUGUUAUAUAAAAGAAAAUUACAGCUGUGCAGCAACAACAGCUAUGUGCGCAGAAGCAUUUCAGUUACUCUGCGGCUGUGCACCCAGGCAACUCAGAGGGAACAGUGAACAAGACUUAUUAGCUUCUUCAGUGCACAUGACCAGAAUUGUGAUUUUUAUUACAAUACUUUUUUGCCCAUUUAAUAGUUUUAACCCUAAACUAGAUUGAACCUAUGGUUCAGAAACUAUGCUUCCAUCGAAAUGAUCCAUCCUGGAAUUAAUACUCUACAUUAGCCACUUUCAUCCUAGCUAGUCUCUUGGCUACACAUCAAGCUUUCUAUGUCAACAUUGUCUGUUGAACCAUAUCCUGUGCAACAAGUUCCAUACAGUACAAAGUUGAGCAGAAAUAUCUGCAGGUUUCUGAAAUGAAUCAAGUAACAGCUGGGAGAAGUCCUCUGUUUGUGAGGUCAAGCUCGUUUCUUACUGCUACCAUCAGGCAUAGGGGGGGCCUUAGGUCCCACACCAUCAGGUUCAGGGACAGUUAUUACCCUUCAGGCUCCCAAACCAGCAUGGAUAACUUCACUCACCACAACUCUGAAAUGAUUCCACAAUCUAUGAAUUCCCUUUCAAAGACUCUACAACUCAUCUUUUCAGAAUUAAUUCAUUGCACAUUGGUUGUUUGUCAUCUUUAUGUAUAGUUUUUUUUUAUUGGUUCUAUAGUAUUUCUCUGUUCUACUGUAAAUGCCUGCAAGAAAAUGAAUAAAUUUACUUUGAAUUUUGAAGGUGCAGGAUGGUUGUGGCAAAGCACGUUCAGGCUAAAUCGAGGCGGCUCA